ACCUCAGAAAAAGAACAGCAAGA
This 23-nucleotide non-coding RNA is filed under the name Cricetulus griseus (Chinese hamster). Lineage: Eukaryota; Metazoa; Chordata; Mammalia; Rodentia; Cricetidae. The record is from RNAcentral.